UACUAUGUUGCCUACAGAAUACAUCACAGA
This 30-nucleotide non-coding RNA is filed under the name Rattus norvegicus (Norway rat). The record is from RNAcentral. Lineage: Eukaryota; Metazoa; Chordata; Mammalia; Rodentia; Muridae.